GAUCUGGCUCAGGAUGAACGCUAGCUACAGGCUUAACACAUGCAAGUCGAGGGGCAGCGGGAUUGAAGCUUGCUUCAAUUGCCGGCGACCGGCGCACGGGUGAGUAACGCGUAUCCAACCUUCCGUACACUCAGGGAUAGCCUUUCGAAAGAAAAAUUAAUACCUGAUGGUAUGAUGAGAUUGCAUGAUAGCAUCAUUAAAGAUUUAUCGGUGUACGAUGGGGAUGCGUU
Molecule: ribosomal RNA, 230 nt
Filed under: uncultured bacterium
Lineage: Bacteria
Description: partial 16S ribosomal RNA
Rfam family: Bacterial small subunit ribosomal RNA
Source: RNAcentral